GUGAAUCAUCGAAUCUUUGAACGCAUCUUGCGCUCCUUGGUAUUCCAUGGAGCAUGCCUGUUUCAGUGUCACGUAAACCCUCACACUUGUGAUGUCAAAGUCACAAGCUGUGGAUUUGGACUGUGCCGUAAAUGGCUCGUCCUGAAAUGCAUUAGCUUGCGCUUGUUAGAGUGCUCGGCACGGUGUGAUAAUUAUCUGCGCCCUCGCCUUAGGCCUCUUCUAAAUGUGCUGCUUCUAAUCGUCCCUACGGACAACUUUUCAAACUUUGGCCUGAAAUCAGGUAGGACUACCCGCUGAACU
Molecule: unclassified non-coding RNA, 300 nt
Filed under: uncultured Auriculariales
Lineage: Eukaryota; Fungi; Basidiomycota; Agaricomycetes; Auriculariales
Description: sequence contains 5.8S rRNA gene, ITS2
Rfam family: 5.8S ribosomal RNA (bases 1-71)
Source: RNAcentral